GCCGCCGGGGCUGGGGGCUGCCGCCGCCGCGCCGGGAAGGGGGAGGCCCCGCCCCCAGCGGCUGUCAUGGCAACGGGGCGGUGCCGGGCAGUGGCCUCACCCCCAUCCGGGGCUCGCCGUGUCCUGUGCAGCUUCGCGGGUGCCGAUAAAGUUGGGGCGAUUGAAGCGGGGAGCCACGCCCUGUUCCCACCCCCCCCUCCUUGGCCCAUCCCCUUCCUUUGCGUCGCUUCCUCCCCGCCACCGAGAAGGCUAAGAUGGCGGCAGGCGAGGCGGGCGGAGCAGCCAAUGGGGUGGCUGAGGAGGGCCUGGGGGCGGGGCCGAAGCGCUAGCAGGGUUGGUCGGCGCGCACGCGGCGGCGCUGCGGUAUUUCAAAAGGUGGUGUGUUGGACAACGGCUUCCUACAGAAUACUGGGACUGCAGUUGUUAGUGCUGUUUUAUGCUGCGGAAUAAUAUUGGUUAUAACUAUGUAAUUCCAAAUUCGUUUUCCCUAGAAAUGUGAUGUAUAUCCAGAAAUAAGCAGAAACAUGAGGUCCUCUCCUAAUAUGCUUGGUAUUAUCUGGGUGUGUGGAAACUUUGUUCUAACAACUCAGCAGUGUUAGUGCUUGUUAUUUCCUAAUAUUUUUAAAGGAUUUCCUGUUUUAGAGUGAUCAUCAGAUUCUGUGAUGUGUGUGUGCAAAGCAGCUCCAAUAGGAUAGUUGUUAUUAAACAAAAUACACAUGACUGUAAUUAACUGCAGUUUAUCCCAUGGAUUGUUUUCUAUGUCCCAAUCUUAUAUAGUGCUUGUUUAAAGCUUUCCUGUUUUUAAAGAAAAAGGAAUAGGCACCUAUGUGCAUUUUCCUCUAAAUGUCUUUUUAUGGGGCCAGGGGACAGCCCCGUGGGGAAGGUGAGCCCAGGACUCUGCAGCAGCCCUGUGCAGGCAUGGGCAGUGAAGUGGGGCCUGGUCUGUUCCUCUGUGUUCCCAGAAUUUUUGGAAACAAUUUUCUUGUUACUGCACAGGAAUUGUGCUGUAGUUGGGAAUGAGAGAAAAUGUUCGGGUAGCUUUUUAAAUGCCUUAAGUACAAGGUGAUUUUUUCACUGCAUCUCAGAAUAGGAUCCCUUGCUGGGCAACCUGAAGGUCUGGACUCUGCGCUGACCACGAGGAAGGUCUUGCGUACAACAGAGUGCAGUUAAGUAAAGACUGUCAUUGCUUKUUGGCAGUGCUUCCCAGUUAGGGACAUGUGGAGGUCAGGCCAAGUGUAGGAGACAAGUGUGUUUUGUGCCUU
This 1262-nucleotide long non-coding RNA is filed under the name Apteryx rowi (Okarito brown kiwi). RNAcentral's name for it is "lncRNA (ENSARWG00000011446.1)". The record is from RNAcentral. Lineage: Eukaryota; Metazoa; Chordata; Aves; Apterygiformes; Apterygidae.